AUCCCAUGGUGGGGACAUUGUCUAAGAAACUCUUUAAAUCUUUCCCAAGAAUCAAAUAAGGAUUCAUCAUCUCAUUGUUUAAAUGAAGUAAUCUCGUUUCUCAUAUU
This is a small nucleolar RNA of Lathyrus oleraceus (garden pea), 107 nucleotides long. NCBI's taxonomy places the organism in Eukaryota, Viridiplantae, Streptophyta, Magnoliopsida, Fabales, Fabaceae. The record is from RefSeq and is a predicted model, not a curated record.